UGGGGUUGUGGCUCAGUGGUAGAGUGCUUGCCAGGCAUGUGUGAUGCCCUGGGUUUGAUCCUCAGCACCACAA
This 73-nucleotide transfer RNA is filed under the name Marmota monax (woodchuck). RNAcentral describes it as "tRNA.Ala". Lineage: Eukaryota; Metazoa; Chordata; Mammalia; Rodentia; Sciuridae. The record is from RNAcentral.